CAACCCUCGGGCCCCCCUCUGCGGGCGGCCCGGCGUUGGGGCUCAGGCGCCGUCUCUGCUCGGCGCCUGUCCCCUAAAUGCAGUGGCGGCCUCGCCGCUGCCUCCUCCGCGUAGUAGCACAAACCUCGCGGCUGGAAGGCGGCGCGGCCACGCCGUAAAACCCCCCAACUUUACCAA
Molecule: unclassified non-coding RNA, 177 nt
Filed under: Trichothecium crotocinigenum
Lineage: Eukaryota; Fungi; Ascomycota; Sordariomycetes; Hypocreales
Description: partial internal transcribed spacer 2
Source: RNAcentral